GGUUAGUCGGGACCUAAGCCGAGGCCGAAAGGCGUAGGUGAUGGACAAUCGGUUGAUAUUCCGAUACCACCAUGAUCCGUUUGAGAAAUGGGGUGACGCAGUAGGAUAGGAUGUGCGCACUGAUGGAUGUGCGUCUAAGCACUUAGGAUGAUUGAACAGGCAAAUCCGUUCAGUCUUAAGUCUGAGGUGUGAUGGGGAGUGAAAUUUUAGUAGCGAAGUAUCCGAUUCCACACUGCCAAGAAAAGCCUCUAUCGAGGAAAAUGGUGCCCGUACCGCAAACCGACACAGGUAGAUGAGGAGAGAAUCCUAAGGCCAGCGGAAGAAUUGUUGUCAAGGAACUCGGCAAAUUAACCCCGUAACUUCGGGAGAAGGGGUGCCUACGAGAGUAGGCCGCAGUGAAUAGGCCCAAGCAACUGUUUAGCAAAAACACAGGUCUCUGCUAAAGCGAAAGCUGAUGUAUAGGGGCUGACGCCUGCCCGGUGCUGGAAGGUUAAGGGGAUUGGUUAGCGUAAGCGAAGCCUUGAACUUAAGCCCCAGUAAACGGCGGCCGUAACUAUAACGGUCCUAAGGUAGCGAAAUUCCUUGUCGGGUAAGUUCCGACCCGCACGAAUGGCGUAAUGAUUUGGGCACUGUCUCGACAACAAAUCCGGUGAAAUUGAAUUGGAGGUGAAGAUGCCUUCUACCCGCGAUUGGACGGAAAGACCCCGUAGAGCUUUACUGUAGCUUAGCAUUGAAUUUCGGUAUUGUCUGUACAGGAUAGGUGGGAGACUUAGAAGCAGGGGCGUCAGCUUCUGUGGAGUCAUCCUUGGGAUACCACCCUGACAGUAUUGAAAUUCUAACCGGAGGCCAUGAAUCUGGUCACGGGACAUUGUUAGGUGGGCAGUUUGACUGGGGCGGUCGCCUCCUAAAAAGUAACGGAGGCGCCCAAAGGUUCCCUCAGCGCAGUCGGAAAUUGCGCGCAGAGUGUAAAGGCAGAAGGGAGCUUGACUGCGACACAUACAGGUGGAGCAGGGACGAAAGUCGGGCUUAGUGAUCCGGUGGUUCCUCGUGGGAGGGCCAUCGCUCAACGGAUAAAAGCUACCUCGGGGAUAACAGGCUGAUCUCCCCCAAGAGUCCACAUCGACGGGGAGGUUUGGCACCUCGAUGUCGGCUCGUCGCAUCCUGGGGCUGAAGUCGGUCCCAAGGGUUGGGCUGUUCGCCCAUUAAAGCGGCACGCGAGCUGGGUUCAGAACGUCGUGAGACAGUUCGGUCCCUUUCCGUCGCGGGCGUAGGAAAUUUGAGAGGAGCUGUCCUUAGUACGAGAGGACCGGGAUGGACCAACCUCUGGUGCACCAGUUGUCACGCCAGUGGCAUAGCUGGGUAGCUAUGUUGGGAAGGAAUAAACGCUGAAAGCAUCUAAGCGUGAAGUCCACCUCAAGAUUAGAUUUCCCAUAGCGUAAGCUAGU
RNAcentral lists this ribosomal RNA (1445 nucleotides) under Clostridium sp. KNHs214. Its description in RNAcentral is "bacterial LSU rRNA". It matches the Rfam family "Bacterial large subunit ribosomal RNA", at positions 1378 to 2829 of the family's 2925-position model. Lineage: Bacteria; Bacillati; Bacillota; Clostridia; Eubacteriales; Clostridiaceae. The record is from RNAcentral.